Molecule: ribosomal RNA, 253 nt
Filed under: uncultured bacterium
Lineage: Bacteria
Description: partial 16S ribosomal RNA
Rfam family: Bacterial small subunit ribosomal RNA
Source: RNAcentral
UACGUAGGGGGCAAGCGUUGUCCGGAAUCAUUGGGCGUAAAGCGCGCGUAGGCGGCCCCGUAAGUCCGCUGUGAAAGUCAAAGGCUCAACCUUUGAAAGCCGGUGGAUACUGUGGGGCUAGAGUCCGGAAGAGGCGAGUGGAAUUCCUGGUGUAGCGGUGGAAUGCGCAGAUAUCAGGAGGAACACCAAUAGCGAAGGCAGCUCGCUGGGACGGUACUGACGCUAAGGCGCGAAAGCGUGGAGAGCGAACAGG